GUACAGCUCACUUUCACUUUCAUCUUCUACUGCAAUACAUCCCAGCCUUUUCCUUCUAGUCGGUUCUCUCUCUAUCUCUCUCCCUAUCAAUACUCUCCAAAGCACCACUGCCACCACCGUUAGCUCUCAUUCACACAAUGCUUUGACCAUUGACCACCCACAUCUCCACCUCCUCCUUCUCCUCCAAAAACCAAAAUGGGGACCUGCACAUCAAAGCCUCCCAAAGCCAACCCUUAUGCCUCCCAAAACGAACCUGUAAAUGAUCAGUCUAACCCGAACCAGACUCCUAUAUCUCCACUCGCACCGCUCCCUAACCCCAAACAGUCCCCUUUCUUCCCAUUCUAUACUCCAAGCCCUGCUUAUCCGUUCAAGAAAUCUCCUUCUGCCGAAUUCACACCAGCUAACUCCACUCCUACGCCGUUGCGGUUCUUUAAGAAGCCGUUCCCUCCACCGUCCCCUGCUAAGCAUAUUAGGGCCGUCCUCCGCCGGCGGGAACAGGGGAAGAAGAAGAAGAAGGCGGCAAUUCCCGAGGAAGGGGAAGGUGAUAGCGAGGAUGCGACUGGGAUAGACUUGGAUAAGAGGUUUGGGUUCUCGAAAGAGUUCACGAGUAGGUUGGAGGUAGGGGAAGAGGUGGGCCGAGGGCAUUUCGGGUAUACUUGUUCUGCCAAGUUCAAGAAAGGUGACCGUAAAGGGCAGCAAGUUGCUGUUAAAGUCAUACCCAAAUCCAAGAUGACAACAGCUAUUGCAAUUGAGGAUGUGAGAAGGGAGGUGAAAAUACUAAGGGCCUUGACAGGACAUAGCAACCUUGUACAGUUCCAUGAUGCAUUUGAAGAUUUUGAUAAUGUCUACAUAGUAAUGGAGUAAGCUUGGAAAGCACACAAUAUUAUUUAAAUCAUUUAAUUUUGUGUGGCAUGCUUAUUAUUAACUGAGUUAAACUUCUAUCUCUUGGAUGAUUCAGAUGAGGGUCAUUGACACUGUUCCUGUUUGAUUCCAAACCAUUCCCCCUAUAUUCAAGCAUGAGGAUGUGCUUCCUUAAAUUUUGUUUUGCUUCCUUAAAUUUUGUUUAUGUGGAUAUCUUUAAUACAAAUUGUUGCUAGGGUAUAUACUACUUGCCCACAGCUUUAUGAGAUUGUUGACCUUAUGAAAGUUAAUUAGUUAUUAUGAAUUUUUCAGGUUAUGUGAAGGAGGGGAGCUGCUAGAUAGAAUACUUUCAAGGGGUGGGAAAUACUCAGAAGAUGAUGCAAAGGGCGUCUUGGUGCAGAUACUAAAUGUUGUUGCCUUUUGUCAUCUACAAGGUGUGGUGCACCGGGAUCUCAAACCAGAGAACUUUCUGUAUACUUCUAAGGAUGAGAAUUCUCAGCUGAAAGUCAUAGACUUUGGCUUAUCGGAUUUUGUCAGACCAGAUGAAAGGCUUAAUGACAUUGUGGGAAGUGCGUACUAUGUGGCACCUGAAGUCCUCCAUAGAUCUUAUAGCACGGAGGCUGAUGUAUGGAGUAUAGGUGUUAUAGCAUAUAUUCUAUUGUGUGGUAGUCGUCCAUUUUGGGCCCGUAAUGAGUCCGGAAUUUUUCGGGCAGUCUUGAAAGCUGAUCCAAGUUUUGAUGAAGCACCUUGGCCUUCUUUAUCUCCGGAAGCAAAAGACUUUGUAAAACGCCUAUUGAACAAGGACCCCAGGAAGCGAAUGACUGCAGCUCAGGCCUUAGGUCAUCCCUGGAUCCGGAAUCAUAAUGAUGUAAAAGUACCUCAUGAUAUUUUAAUUUUCAGACUCAUGAAGGCAUAUAUGCGCUCGUCAUCUUUGCGUAAGGCUGCUUUAAGGGUGUGUAUUUUGUGAUGACAAAUAAACAGAAAAAAAAAUAUAUGUUUUUUUGUGCAAUUUUGUGUAUAUACUCCAUCAUAUAAUUUAUGUCUUCUGAUGUUGAAAUAUUUUAAAAUUCGUAUCUUUUGAUUUGAAUCUUCACUUCUGUAUUUUCUCAGUGAUACAAUUGAUUAAGAGGCUUCCUGCUUUAAACUAGGAUCCAGUAUAGCAAUUGAAAAUUUUCUGUACAUCCAUUUCCCUAAUUAUUAUAAGCAAUAAGCUUUAUGUCACUUUGCUUCUAAUCACCUAUCUUGUUUUUUGGUCCUUGCAGGCAUUGUCUAAGACGUUGACUGUGGAUGAACUUCAUUAUUUGAAGGAACAGUUUGCAUUAUUAGAGCCAAACUACAAUGGCAGCAUAACUUUGGAAAACUUAAGAAUGGUUGGUAUCCCUUCUCUAUCCGUCUCUUUUCCCCGCUCACACGCAUGGCAAAAGACGCAUACACGUACAUUUUUCAGGUAGGAUGACUGGAUAAUGGUAAGUGUUGUACAUUCUUUUUGUUUGGAGCAGGCCUUGAUGAAAAAUGCAACGGAUGCAAUGAAGGAUUCACACAUCCCCGAUAUUCUGUCAUCGGUAAGAACCAAGUUGCAUAAUGGAUUCGUGGGCUGUUCCAGAAUUUAUAUAGCUAUAGGCUUCAAGUUUAUAUCUGUACCUACCUCUUGAUUUUCGUUUCAUGACAGCUAAAUGCACUUCAAUACAGAAGAAU
RNAcentral lists this unclassified non-coding RNA (2556 nucleotides) under Hevea brasiliensis (rubber tree). Lineage: Eukaryota; Viridiplantae; Streptophyta; Magnoliopsida; Malpighiales; Euphorbiaceae. The record is from RNAcentral.